RNAcentral lists this ribosomal RNA (485 nucleotides) under uncultured Actinomycetes bacterium. RNAcentral describes it as "bacterial SSU rRNA". It matches the Rfam family "Bacterial small subunit ribosomal RNA", at positions 355 to 849 of the family's 1533-position model. The record is from RNAcentral. Lineage: Bacteria; Bacillati; Actinomycetota; Actinomycetes.
UGGAGAAUAUUGCACAAUGGGCGAAAGCCUGAUGCAGCGACGCCGCGUGGGGGAUGAAGGCCUUCGGGUUGUAAACCCCUUUCAGCAGGGAAGAAGCGAAAGUGACGGUACCUGCAGAAGAAGCGCCGGCUAACUACGUGCCAGCAGCCGCGGUAAUACGUAGGGCGCAAGCGUUGUCCGGAAUUAUUGGGCGUAAAGAGCUCGUAGGCGGUCUGUCGCGUCUGCUGUGAAAACCCGAGGCUCAACCUCGGGCCUGCAGUGGGUACGGGCAGACUAGAGUGCGGUAGGGGAGACUGGAAUUCCUGGUGUAGCGGUGGAAUGCGCAGAUAUCAGGAGGAACACCGAUGGCGAAGGCAGGUCUCUGGGCCGCAACUGACGCUGAGGAGCGAAAGCAUGGGGAGCGAACAGGAUUAGAUACCCUGGUAGUCCAUGCCGUAAACGUUGGGCACUAGGUGUGGGGCUCGAUUCCACGAGUUCCGUGCCGC